This 222-nucleotide ribosomal RNA is filed under the name Glomus sp. (unid). Lineage: Eukaryota; Fungi; Glomeromycota; Glomeromycetes; Glomerales; Glomeraceae. The record is from RNAcentral.
CAGUCGUAUCGACGAGAAAUCAACCUUUCGAGUGCGAACCUGUGGGCGUGCGUGAGUCUUUAACGGGCCUCGCUGUUUGCAAUGUUUCGUGUCUUUUGGGGUGUACUUUUUCGUAUGGUAGGCCAACGUCAGUUUCGAUCACCGUAAAAUGAUCGGAGGAAUGUAGCUUCGAUCUCGUAUUGAAGUGUUAUAGCCUCUGGUAAUGCGGUGACCGAAACUGGA